GACGAACGCUGGCGGCGUGCUUAACACAUGCAAGUCGAACGGAAAGGCCCUGCUUUUGUGGGGUUCUCGAUUGGCGAACGCGUGAGUAACACGUGUGUAACCUGCCCUUCUCUUUGGGAUAACUUCACGUAACUGGGGCUACUACCGUAUCGGAGCUCCUGCUGCAUGGUGGGGGUUGGAUAUUUUCGGCGGUUGGGGAUGGACGCGCGGCUUAUCAGCUUGUUGGUUGGGUAGUGGCUUACCAAGCCUUUGACCGAUAGCCGGCAUGUGUGGGUGAACGGGGACAAUGGGACUGAGAGACGGACCAGAGUGCAACGGGAGGCAGCAGUGGGGAAUAUGGCACAAUGGGAGGAAGCGUGAUGAAGAAACGCCGGGGGCGGGAAGACGGCCUUCGGGGUGAAAAACGCAUUAGCCUGAGACGAAGCGGGAGUGACGGUAAUGGGAAAAGAAGCACCGGCUAACUACGUG
Molecule: ribosomal RNA, 468 nt
Filed under: uncultured bacterium
Lineage: Bacteria
Description: partial 16S ribosomal RNA
Rfam family: Bacterial small subunit ribosomal RNA
Source: RNAcentral